AUUGAACGCUAGCGGGAUGCUUUACACAUGCAAGUCGAACGGCAGCGCGGACUUCGGUCUGGCGGCGAGUGGCGAACGGGUGAGUAAUGUAUCGGAACGUGCCCAGUAGCGGGGGAUAACUACGCGAAAGCGUAGCUAAUACCGCAUACGCCCUACGGGGGAAAGCAGGGGAUCGUAAGACCUUGCACUAUUGGAGCGGCCGAUAUCGGAUUAGCUAGUUGGUGAGGUAACGGCUCACCAAGGCGACGAUCCGUAGCUGGUUUGAGAGGACGACCAGCCACACUGGGACUGAGACACGGCCCAGACUCCUACGGGAGGCAGCAGUGGGGAAUUUUGGACAAUGGGGGCAACCCUGAUCCAGCCAUCCCGCGUGUGCGAUGAAGGCCUUCGGGUUGUAAAGCACUUUUGGCAGGAAAGAAACGUCGCGGGCUAAUACCCCGUGGAACUGACGGUACCUGCAGAAUAGGCACCGGCUAACUACGUG
Molecule: ribosomal RNA, 484 nt
Filed under: uncultured bacterium
Lineage: Bacteria
Description: partial 16S ribosomal RNA
Rfam family: Bacterial small subunit ribosomal RNA
Source: RNAcentral